UGCAAGUCGAACGGUAACAGGAAGCAGCUUGCUGCUUUGCUGACGAGUGGCGGACGGGUGAGUAAUGUCUGGGAAACUGCCUGAUGGAGGGGGAUAACUACUGGAAACGGUAGCUAAUACCGCAUAACGUCGCAAGACCAAAGAGGGGGACCUUCGGGCCUCUUGCCAUCGGAUGUGCCCAGAUGGGAUUAGCUAGUAGGUGGGGUAACGGCUCACCUAGGCGACGAUCCCUAGCUGGUCUGAGAGGAUGACCAGCCACACUGGAACUGAGACACGGUCCAGACUCCUACGGGAGGCAGCAGUGGGGAAUAUUGCACAAUGGGCGCAAGCCUGAUGCAGCCAUGCCGCGUGUAUGAAGAAGGCCUUCGGGUUGUAAAGUACUUUCAGCGGGGAGGAAGGGAGUAAAGUUAAUACCUUUGCUCAUUGACGUUACCCGCAGAAGAAGCACCGGCUAACUCCGUGCCAGCAGCCGCGGUAAUACGGAGGGUGCAAGCGUUAAUCGGAAUUACUGGGCGUAAAGCGCACGCAG
Molecule: ribosomal RNA, 529 nt
Filed under: Escherichia coli
Lineage: Bacteria; Pseudomonadati; Pseudomonadota; Gammaproteobacteria; Enterobacterales; Enterobacteriaceae
Description: bacterial SSU rRNA
Rfam family: Bacterial small subunit ribosomal RNA
Source: RNAcentral